Molecule: ribosomal RNA, 324 nt
Filed under: uncultured eukaryote
Lineage: Eukaryota
Description: partial 18S ribosomal RNA
Rfam family: Eukaryotic small subunit ribosomal RNA
Source: RNAcentral
CCCUUAGAUGUUCUGGGCUGCACGCGCGCUACACUGAAGCUAUCAACACGUUUUCCCUCCCUGAGAAGGGCGGGUAACCUUUUGAAUCAGCUUCGUGGUAGGGAUCGGGGCUUGCAAUUGUUCCCCGUGACCCAGGAAUUCCUAGUAGACGCGAGUCAUAAGCUCGCAUCGAUUAAGUCCCUGCCCUUUGUACACACCGCCCGUCGCUACUACCGAUUGAACGUUUUAGUGAGGCAUUUGGACCGACGCAUCUCAGUUUAACCGCUGGUUUGUGUUGGAAAGACUUCCAAACUUGAGCGUUUAGAGGAAGUAAAAGUCGUAACA